RNAcentral lists this ribosomal RNA (454 nucleotides) under uncultured Parabacteroides sp. RNAcentral's name for it is "partial 16S ribosomal RNA". It matches the Rfam family "Bacterial small subunit ribosomal RNA", at positions 341 to 792 of the family's 1533-position model. Lineage: Bacteria; Pseudomonadati; Bacteroidota; Bacteroidia; Bacteroidales; Tannerellaceae. The record is from RNAcentral.
ACGGAAGGCAGCAGUGAGGAAUAUUGGACAAUGGGGGCAACCCUGAUCCAGCCAAACCGCGUGAGGGAUGAAGGUCCUACGGAUCGUAAACCUCUUUUAUGUGGGAAUAAUUGCCGGUAUGUAUACUGGUUUGAAGGUACCACUUGAAUAAGCAUCGGCUAACUCCGUGCCAGCAGCCGCGGUAAUACGGAGGAUGCAGGCGUUAUCCGGAUUUAUUAGGUUUAAAGGGUGCGCAGGCGGGACAUUAAGUCGGCGGUGAAAUACCGUGGCCCAACCACGGGGCUGCCGUCGAUACUGAUGACCUAGAGUGCGUGUGACGUAGGCGGAAUGUGACGUGUAGCGGUGAAAUGCUUAGAUAUGUUGCAGAACUCCGAUUGCGAAGGCAGCUGUCCAGAGACGAACUGACGCUGAGGCACGAAAGCAUGGGUAUCAAACAGGAUUAGAUACCCUGGUA